Molecule: ribosomal RNA, 475 nt
Filed under: uncultured bacterium
Lineage: Bacteria
Description: bacterial SSU rRNA
Rfam family: Bacterial small subunit ribosomal RNA
Source: RNAcentral
GACGAACGCUGGCGGCGUGCCUAACACAUGCAAGUCGAGCGGGGUUGAAGCGAGGGGUAACUCGAGUUUCUACCUAGCGGCGGACGGGUGAGUAACGCGUGGGCAACCUGCCUCAAGGACUGGGAUAACAGCUCGAAAGGGCUGCUAAUACCGGAUAAGCCUAUGGCCUCGCAUGGGGCCAUGAGCAAAGGGGAAACCUGCCUUGAGAUGGGCCCGCGUCCCAUCAGCUAGUUGGUGAGGUGAAGGCUCACCAAGGCGACGACGGGUAGCCGGCCUGAGAGGGUGACCGGCCACACUGGGACUGAGACACGGCCCAGACUCCUACGGGGGGCAGCAGUGGGGAAUCUUGCACAAUGGGCGAAAGCCUGAUGCAGCGACGCCGCGUGAGCGAAGAAGGCCUUCGGUUGUAAAGCUCUGUCUGGAGGGACGGAAGGAAGUGACGGUACCUCCGGAGGAAGCCACGGCUAACUACGUG